UACGUAGGGUGCGAGCGUUGUCCGGAAUCAUUGGGCGUAAAGCGCGUGUAGGCGGCCCGAUAAGUCCGCUGUGAAAGUCCAGGGCUCAACCCUGGAAUGCCGGUGGAUACUGUCGGGCUCGAGUCCGGAAGAGGCGAGUGGAAUUCCUGGUGUAGCGGUGAAAUGCGCAGAUAUCAGGAGGAACACCAAUGGCGAAGGCAGCUCGCUGGGACGGUACUGACGCUGAGACGCGAAAGCGUGGGGAGCAAACAGG
Molecule: ribosomal RNA, 253 nt
Filed under: uncultured bacterium
Lineage: Bacteria
Description: partial 16S ribosomal RNA
Rfam family: Bacterial small subunit ribosomal RNA
Source: RNAcentral